UGGGGAAUUUUGGACAAUGGGGGCAACCCUGAUCCAGCCAUGCCGCGUGCGGGAAGAAGGCCUUCGGGUUGUAAACCGCUUUCGGCCGGAACGAAAUCGGCGGGAUGAAUAGUCUCGCUGGAUGACGGUACCGGAAGAAGAAGCACCGGCUAACUACGUGCCAGCAGCCGCGGUAAUACGUAGGGUGCGAGCGUUAAUCGGAAUUACUGGGCGUAAAGCGUGCGCAGGCGGCCGCAUAAGCCAGAGGUGAAAUCCCCGGGCUCAACCUGGGAAUGGCCUUUGGGACUGUGUGGCUGGAGUGCGGCAGAGGGGGGUGGAAUUCCUGGUGUAGCAGUGAAAUGCGUAGAGAUCAGGAGGAACACCGAUGGCGAAGGCAGCCCCCUGGGCCAGCACUGACGCUCAGGCACGAAAGCGUGGGGAGCAAACAGG
This 429-nucleotide ribosomal RNA is filed under the name uncultured beta proteobacterium. RNAcentral describes it as "bacterial SSU rRNA". It matches the Rfam family "Bacterial small subunit ribosomal RNA", at positions 355 to 776 of the family's 1533-position model. The record is from RNAcentral. Lineage: Bacteria; Pseudomonadati; Pseudomonadota; Betaproteobacteria.